RNAcentral lists this long non-coding RNA (668 nucleotides) under Musa acuminata (dwarf banana). RNAcentral's name for it is "long non-coding RNA (MACU_LNC005353)". The record is from RNAcentral. Lineage: Eukaryota; Viridiplantae; Streptophyta; Magnoliopsida; Zingiberales; Musaceae.
CAAUUAGGACUCUCCUAGCUAGAGUCCUAAUAGAAUGUCCCUCUCAAUUAGGACUCUCCUAGCUAGAGUCCUAACAGUUUUACAUGAAUGUCCCUCUCAAUUAGGACUCUCCAAGCUAGAGUCCUAACAGACCCGCCCUCUUCAAAUCAGCCUUGUCCUCGAGGCUGAUGAUUCGUGAAUUCUGGGAAUUUGAUCUUCAAGUCAUCAUAGUUCUCCCAAGUGGCAUCUUCUAUUGGUAGGUUUGCCCACUGUAUUAGCACUUCAUUAGUGGGUCGUCGUCAUCGAGUCACGAUCCAUCGAUCAAUAAUGGCACUUGGUUGGGUCUGGAGUUCUCUUUGGGUAGUCAUAUUUGGUGGGUGGCUUUGGGCUGUCUCCAAGCACCUAUUUAAAACUUUCGUCUGGCUGUUGGUUUGUGGGUGAUAUGUCGUACUCCUUUUCAAUUUAGUACCCUGCAUAUGGAAUAACUUUGUCCAAAAUCAGCUCUUGAAUAUGCAAGUAGAAUUUGUCACAAGCACAAUGCGUCCCUUAUAACAUAAUUCUUUUGAGUCCCGAUUGUAAUGAGCCACGGAGCUUGGUGCUUCCUCUAAUUUUUUUUUUUUUUUCUUACUGGUCUCCGAAUCUUCCUGCCAUUCCAUCUUAAUAUCCUUAAGGAAGUCGCUGGUUGGAAG